Molecule: transfer RNA, 73 nt
Filed under: Bos taurus (domestic cattle)
Lineage: Eukaryota; Metazoa; Chordata; Mammalia; Artiodactyla; Bovidae
Also listed under: 5 other names
Rfam family: tRNA
About the family: Transfer RNA (tRNA) molecules are approximately 80 nucleotides in length. Their secondary structure includes four short double-helical elements and three loops (D, anti-codon, and T loops). Further hydrogen bonds mediate the characteristic L-shaped molecular structure. tRNAs have two regions of fundamental functional importance: the anti-codon, which is responsible for specific mRNA codon recognition, and the 3' end, to which the tRNAs corresponding amino acid is attached (by aminoacyl-tRNA synthetases). tRNAs cope with the degeneracy of the genetic code in two manners: having more than one tRNA (with a specific anti-codon) for a particular amino acid; and 'wobble' base-pairing, i.e. permitting non-standard base-pairing at the 3rd anti-codon position.
Source: Rfam by way of RNAcentral
UCCUGUGUGGUCCAGUGGCUAAGACGCUAUGCUACCAACACAGGGGACCCAGGUUCGAUCCCUGGUCAGGGAA